RNAcentral lists this long non-coding RNA (559 nucleotides) under Amphimedon queenslandica. RNAcentral describes it as "uncharacterized LOC109589595, transcript variant X2". The record is from RNAcentral. Lineage: Eukaryota; Metazoa; Porifera; Demospongiae; Haplosclerida; Niphatidae.
ACUCAUAAACUAAAGUUUUAAAGCUAAAACUCAUCCUAGAAAUUUUUGUGAAGAAGACCUAGUGGUAUAGAAAUUACUGAAGAGGUUAAUUGUAUUAAUUGUAAUGGAAAUCUUUUACUGGAAGUGAGUAAGAUUCCUGCAGAUGUACAGGCUAAAGGUGGUCCUCUUAGUAUCAGUGGAGAGGUAGCUCAUGCCAUCAAUCUCAGUGGACUGAGGGAAGUGUGUAUUAGGAGAGUGGAUAAAGAUGAAGUGACACUUGAUUUGGUUGUAUUCAUAUUUAAAAAAUGUUCAGCUAAUGGUACAGGAUGUGGUAUUUGUCAUUCAAGGGAUCUGUUGUUCAGGUUCACUGUAAAAACAAAAAGUUAGAAUAACCCCUGCUUGGUUACUUUCACCACUAAAUUUAAUAGUUAUUGUAACCCUUAUUUUGUUGUCUUAACUACUUUUAGGUUAAUUUUAAUCUGAGGAGUUAUUUUCACCAAAUUAAGUUAUUUUCACAUCUUGUAAAGUUGUAUUAACUAAUAUGAAAAUAUCUAAACCACAGACGUCAUUCUAAGUGGUU